AUGGAGAGCGUUCCACUGCUGGCGUACAGGCCGGGGAAGAAGCGAGCAUUGGCGAGGGAAGCGGCGGAGGAGUCCAAGAAGCUGUGGGGGAUCGUCGGCCCUGCCAUGUUCAUGCGGCUGGUGCUCUACAGCUUUGACAUCGUCAGCCAGGCCUUCGCUGGCCGCAUCGGCGACCUCGAGCUCGCCGCCUUCUCCAUCGCCAGCACCGUCGUCUCCGGACUUACGUUCGGCUUGCUGCUCGGAAUGGCGAGUGCUCUGGAAACGCUGGCCGGCCAGGCCUUCGGCGCCAAGCAGUACGCCAUGCUCGGCAUCUACCUGCAGCGCUCAUGGAUCGUGCUCCUGCUCUCCGCCGUGCUCCUCGUCCCGAUGUACGUCUUCGCGGCGCCGCUGCUGGCCGCGAUGGGCCAGCCGGCCGAGGUGGCGCGCCUGGCGGCCCAGCUCGGCGUGUGCAUGCUCCCGAUGCACUUCGGGUUCGCCCUCCUCCUGCCCAUCAACAAGUUCCUGCAGAGCCAGGGCAAGAACUGGGUCAUGGCGGCCACGGCGCUGGCGUCCUUCCCCGUGCACGUCGCCGCCACCUGGCUGCUGGUGGUCCGGUUCCGGUUCGGGGUGCUCGGCGCCGCCAUGGCUCUCAACGUCUCCUGGGGGCUCAGCUUGGUGGUGCAGCUCGCCUACGUCCUCGGCGGCGGGUGCCCCUUGACGUGGACAGGGUUCUCGCCAUUGGCGUUCGCUGACCUCUGCGGGUUUAUCAAGCUGUCCCUAUCAUCUGGUGUCAUGGUAUGCUUGGAGAAUUCAUACUACAAAGUACUGCUUCUGCUCACAGGACACCUGAAGAAUUCUCAGCUUGCUGUGGAUGCCCUUUCUAUCUGCAUGAGUUUUCAGGGAUGGGAGAUGAUGAUUCCUAUGGCCUUCUUAGCAGGCACUGGGGUGAGAGUUUCUAAUGAGCUUGGCGCGGGCAACGGAAAAGGAGCGCGGUUCGCGACGAUCGUGUCGACGACGAACUCCUUUCUGAUCGGCCUCUUCUUUAGCUUGCUUGCACUUGCCUUCCACGACAAGAUCGCACUCGUCGUUUCAUCAAGCAAAGCUGUGAUCGACGCGGUGGACAACCUCUCCGUUCUGCUAGCCAUCAGCAUCCUCCUAAAUGGCGUCCAACCUGUACUUUCAGGAGUUGCUGUCGGAUCAGGGUGGCAAGCACUAGCGGCUUAUAUAAACGUUGGAAGCUAUUACAUCAUUGGAGUUCCUGUUGGACUUCUGCUCAGUUGGCUCUUCAAUCUGGGAGUUCUUGGGAUUUGGGCAGGGAUGAUCGGUGGCACUGCAGUUCAGACAAUAAUUCUUGCGUAUAUUACCGUGCGAUGCGAUUGGGACGAGGAGGCUUCUAAAGCAAGUAAACACAUCCAAAGAUGGGCAGGCUCGAAAUGA
Molecule: ribosomal RNA, 1416 nt
Filed under: Triticum aestivum (bread wheat)
Lineage: Eukaryota; Viridiplantae; Streptophyta; Magnoliopsida; Poales; Poaceae
Description: partial small subunit ribosomal RNA
Source: RNAcentral